Non-coding RNA from Rattus norvegicus (Norway rat), 6352 nucleotides. The record is from RefSeq and is a predicted model, not a curated record. Lineage: Eukaryota; Metazoa; Chordata; Mammalia; Rodentia; Muridae.
UUCGUGACAGACAACUCAAGAUUUCCCCUUCAGGAAGUCUGUCUGCCUUGCCUCCUCCCGUGGGUAGGUCUGGUAGUCUUCCAGCUUCUUUCCUGUGUGCUGUGUUCUGCCCAAGCUGUCUGUUCAACUUUAUCCAUUCCUGCAAGAGCCUUUGGAACGGGUAUUAUCAGGACAGCAACAUUAUAAAAGUAUUUACACUGCUCAGAUUUGCGCUGCUCCCAGACUUGGUUCAGAGAAGUUUCUUUUUCCAGUGCGAGGUAGUUAAAGCAGAGACGCAUUCCUGUUGAAAGCGCUGGGGAUGACUGACUGAGAGCGCUCAGAAGUAGACAGCACAUCUGUAUCAACCUCCCCCAAAAAGCUCAGAGGAAAUGAGGAGACAGAACGAAGGGGUCAUGGUAUCCGGCACAUGUAGAGGACAGAGCAUAACCCUGUGGAACAGGUCCCCUCCUUCCACCGAAGCUUCUCUUCCCUACUUUUAUCAUCUUUCUUACAAAUGGGGUUUAAGAAAGAAAUGCUGGCGGAACCCACUGCCGUCUUGGAAUUUAAGUGUUUCUGCAUCGUUUGUGCUUUGAUCUCCAAAAUCUCAUUCAGAAAUAUGUGUGCGAACUAAACGUAAGCCAUUUUGGUUGAUAAACGCCAACAUCGUGGCCUGUUUCCUAAGACUCCUUCGUUCUGAAACCAUAUCGCUUGUUUCUUCAUUGUCUCUUCAGACCACAGAGGAUGCGUGAAGCAACCGGUAAGAGGAAAGGCACUUUGAACACAUUAGCAGACAUACUGAAGUAGAACCAGGUAGAAAAGACCAAUUAUUAGAUACUGAUUGGUUGGUUGACUUACUUAAGGCCCUGCUCGUUCUGCCCAUUUGUCAAGCAUCAUGUUCUACCUAGAAGAGAAUGACCUGGAAAACCAGCUAAAACAAUACUACCUGCCGACAGCCGGAAGCUUCUGCUGCCGGCCAAUCCUGCUUGCCUGCCCAUGUUGUGGUUGUAAAGGUAUAAAAUAAAAAUGCAAAGUGGACUCCCUGCUUUGUUAUGUAGGGGGUUUAAAGGCUUUUCAGAAGCUGACUUGGCUUCUGUCUUCUGAUGACAUCUCCUCUCUUCUAUUCUCAUUGAUAUUGGAGACCUUAUUCCAGGAAGAUUCUGGAAACAAUGCCAUCCACUGAAUGUCAUGUGAGAUUUUGUACUACAAGCAGUUCCCCUCUCUAAGUGAUCCCAGCGGCUAAUCCUUAGCUAUUUGAACCAAUGUGUCAUCUGGAACCAGGAAUGGCCCUGCAAGCGGUGGGAGAAAUUGCAGCUGAGUUCAGCUUCCUGUGAGACUGAUGACUUUGUUUCUCUGUUUUCCAGAAACUAUGGGGUCCUGUGUUUUCUGUCUCUAGGUAACCAAUUAGCUUCUGGUUGCCUCCUCUAGCUGGCACAAAAACCCAGCCAAGUUAGUUCAAGCUGUAAGAGUGCUGUCACAUGUGUAAGGUCAGAGCACCACAGUGAAUGCUAUUUCCUGUAUAGUAGAUGGGAGUGAGUCUCCAUCAGAUAGCCCUGCCUCAGGACACCUUUCAUAGAAAUAUAAAACAAUUAUGUGAUUUUUUUCUCUUGUUACAGAUACUUUAAUUUCGUGGCAUUUUUGGUUUUGUAACAGGACCUUACAACACAGUUCUGGCUGACCUAGAACUUUGUAGACCUUUAUAGACUUUAUAGAGAUCUGUUCUUUUCUAGUGAAAAACAAAAAGGAAGUGGAUCCAGAGGAGAGGGGAGGUAGGAAGUAUAGGGUGGAAACUUCUAGCAAUGCUUUUCUUCUCAUCUCCACUGUAAGGACAAAGAUUUGUUUUUGGUACUAAAAAUAUGACUGGAAAGCAGGAACACCUAAAUCCUGACUCAUUUAUGUUAUAACAUAAUAGUGACCCAUGGACAGAUAAACUUUUCAAUCAUCUAAAUGUAUUAAAAAUAGUAAGUGGCCAUCCUGAAGAAUGUGAAGGACAUAUACUUUUUCAAUUUUUAUUUAAGGGAAUACAAGCAAGGGUAUUUAGAGAUAAUUAAUAUAGACAAAUAAGUAGGGAACACAUAUAAAUCAGUCAUGCAACACCCUUACUGGGGAGACUAGCCAUCUAUUUUUAAAUGUCCUGUUGGCAGACUUCAACAGACAGCUGUAUUAGGUGGACAGAGGCUGCCUGUGCAUGGGGAAGAACACCGUGUUAACCCAGUUAUUUUUAGUUGUGAAACCUCCUUUAAAAACCCUGAUAUUAGAGAGAGAGGUAUACACACAACAGAUACACACACACACACACACACACACACACACACACACACACGAGGGGAGGAGGGAGAGGGGAAGGAGGAGAGAGAGGGAGAGGGAGAGAGGGAGAGAGGGAAACCUUGUGCAAGGUCCUAGAUUCAAUCUCCAGCACUAAAAAUUUAAGUUUUAAGAAUACAUCGAAGUUGAAUGAUCUUAAAGCUUUGGUGAAAAUAUCUGUCCUUAGUGCUCUAUAGCACACAGCCCUGCAAUCUACACGUUACCAUUGGCAGCAAGCCUGCUGUUUCCCUGAAAGGCCUCCUUUUAUUCUUCUGGGAAUCCUGUCAGCACUUCUGAGCAAGUGUGGGUGUGGGUGGUUGAUCAGCAUGCUUUGUACUGUCUUGUUUAAAAGUCUCACUCAAGAUGGGAGUAUACCUCAAUACCUAUCUAUGUAUCUAUAUCUAUGUAUCUAUGUGUCUAUGUAUCAAUGUAACUGUGUGUAUGUAUGUAUGUACAUAUGUAUGUCUAUGAAUGAAUCUAUAUCAUCUAUCCAUCUUCUAUCAUCUAUCUAUCUAUAUCAUCUAUCUAUCUAUCUAUCUAUCUAUCUAUCUAUCUAUCUAUCUAUGUGUUUAUCUAUACUUCCCCCACUCAGUGUGUCAGUGUGUAUGUCUCUGUGUUUCUCAUCUAUGUUUACAGUCUAUAUGUGGGUUAAGUCCUAUCUUAAGUUUUCCACAGCAGCUGCUGUACCAGUAGUAGUUGUACCUGAGUAUGCAGUCUCACUGCCCUGGUGUCAUGCUUGCUGAAAAGGGAUCUGUUAAAGCUGGACCCUACUCCAGACCCAUUGCUUUUGUCUCAUUUCUUCUCCCAGACACAUCCCAUGGUGGGAAUCUAUCAAAUCUCUCUAGCAGAGCUGUGGUCCUGCAUUAGGCCUCGCCACUGGGGUGUGGGAAUAUAACUUGGCCUGGUGAAAUGGGAGACACUAGACUGCAUUUAACCUAUGCCACCUCAUCUAGUGCUGGGCUUGUGGGAAGUGCCAGUGCACAGCUCUGGGUAUGGGAGAAUGCAACUGGAGUUGAGGGCCUCACCUUGGUGAGAAAUGACACUGGUGGAGGCCCAAGUUAGGGUUCCCUGAUUCCUGGGCAUCCAGUCACAGCUGGAAGCCAGAGUCAGGAAUGAAGGGGGCCAGUGGGCGGAGGAUGAGCCUGGGGUUGGGGGAAGGGAACCCUAGCUUAGUUUAGUGAGGAGUCCAGGAAUGCUGAGGGGCCUUCUGAGGGAGACUUAGGCUUUAUAGGCAAACGCUUCCUCCAUGUUUCCCGUGGCAGUUCUUGAUGAAAGAGGCAGUUCAUGGUUGUCCACACUGUUUAUUGACUGUUCAUUGUGGAAAAUGGGUGCCUAUCACCUCCUCAGGGUGGAGCAGAGAUUAAAUGCCAUUCACUGAAAGGAAUGUCUGGAAGGGAAGCUUAUUGGUUAAACCCCAAGGGACUUAGACACCUCAUUAGCAUGGAGAACUCUGAUCUGGGCUACAUGGCCAUUGUUCAUGUCCCUUUGUGGGUCACAUGUUCCCGGUCAGGAAUCUUGGUAGGGAGCAGGGAGAUGUCUACCAUCCUCAGAUGGGUACCUGGGUACUGGGAUCUCUGAACCUACUCAACCUUACCAAAUUUCCUGGCAUGGACCACUGCCCCAUAAGACUCAUCUGGUUGGUCUCUUGGGCAAAUUUGGUAUAAUGAAAAGAAAGAAUGAGUAGGCCUCAUACCUGCUUGCCAUUGGUUUGGAGAAGCCCAAAAGAGUUCAGGGUUUUGUCAAGACCAGGUCAUUGGAGAGCAUCAUUUUCCUUGGGAGGAGUGCCAAAUUCUCUUGUGUUUUUGUGCGUGCAUGCAUGCAUGCAUGUGUGUUUGUUGCUACAGUCAAAGGUGAGCUUACUGUAGGAGAGCUAAUAGAAGAAACUGCUUAGCCUGUAAGCAGGAGGGGUGUGUAUUGUUUAUCAGAUACAGAUGGUUGCUGCUGUCUGAACUUCAGAACCAGGAGGUCCCCUUGGAGCUGUCACGGUAGCAUAAUGAUUGAAUUUGGAGGAGAGUUGCCAUGUGUCCACUGGAGUUUGGAUCAGAAAAAGAAGCCAAUGUAUAUUUUGGGUCUAGACAUUUCUGGAAGGAAUUUAACCCAAGGAAUCAACGGAAUGAAGUCUCUGUGAGCUCUAUUGAAGAGUCUAGGAAAUGACCAGUUUCCAGUUCAGCAGCAGAAAGGUGGUCUCCGGGAACAGAAUGGUUACCAAGAAACAUGCUGGAGUCAUUAAAGCAUACAUUUGAUUAAAAUGUAUUUGGAAAGGGGGAUUUGAAGAUAGCAUGGCUACCUGUGACUCUGACUUUUAUUUGCCUGAUGUAAUUGUCUCAGGGGCUUAUAACCUCUGCGUGAUAACCUAAGCUUAGUCCUGGAAGCUUCUAGUCUCUGUAAAGUCUAAUCUAGGCCUAGAAUGUUUUUCAGCAUCUGAGACAUACUGCUGAAUAAGCUCACCCUUUCUCAUUCUUUCUGAGCUCUGAUUAGCUGGUUCAACUCAACUGUUCUCUCUCCAAGCUGACUGAUUCAAUCUGACUGCUCUCAGCUUCCAGCUGAAUUGCUCUGCUUGACCUCAAAUUAUCUCUGUCAAUCUGUUCCAGUCUUCUGGUUCCUUCUCAUUCCCUUGAUUGUUCUGUCUUCACCUGUGUCUAGCUUGUUUUAUUUGUGCAACCUGUCUCUGUAAAACUCCGGAAAAACUGCCUCCUCUCUCUUCCUCUCCCCUUACCCCUCUCUCUGCACUGCUCCCUCUUUCCUCUCUCUUCUUGUGAGAGUUGGACAUAGCCUGUUCUAUCAAAUCUUUCUCUGAUUCAUCACUUUAUCUGCCACUCAACUAGUCACUACUUUGAAACAGGGCUGCUUCCUUCUACAAACUAACUCUACCAUCAUAGUUUGGGAUUAAAGGUGUAUGUUAAGGGCUGAGCCGCACCACAAAAACAGGGUUUAUUGAGUAAACAACACAAUCUCAGGGUUGACAGUAUGAUCAAAUAUCCUGCAAUGUGUUCAUACCCAUGUUCAACAUGUACUUCAAGGCACACUUUUCUCAUAAGCCCUCGUUCACGACUCUCUUCCAUCCUACCUUGUUUUUGUAUUGCACCCUGUCUUAUAGUAAAUUUGUUUUCUAUUCAUUUUCUGUUUUUUAUUGAUCUCUGGCCUUGACUGGAAGGUGAUCUAAAGGGAUCACUUUUUAUUUUCUGUCAUUCUCCUAUAAUGAUGAAUGACAGGUUUACAAUAAUCUCAUUGAACAAUUAUUGUAGUCAACAGCUACUUAGACCCCACAGUGAAUAUCAUCCUAUAUGUUUGUGUUGACUUUUAAGGUAUUUUUAAAGAGAUAUACUUAUUUAUGCAUAUGGGUGCUUUGUCUGCAUUACAUCUGCCCACCAGAAGAGAGAAACUGGAAUUCAUGAGAUUGCCGUUAUGUAGAUUGAUGUCUAUAUGUAGGUGAGGACUGGCACAAGUUAGGUCAAGGCCAUGAUUGGACAUUAAAAAACAAAACAAGAUCUUCCUGGUUGCUGCCGCCGCAGAGAGCUCGUGGGCAGCACCCCGAGAGCAAACUUGAGCCUCGGGACCACAGGUAAGACCAACUUUUCUGCUGCAAGAGACCUGCCUGGUGAACUCGGGACACACAGAGGCAGAAUUCCUCUAGGACCGGGCACUCCCUGUGUUUACCGGGAGUCCCACACCCGCGGAUCCGGGCCCGCAGCAACUCUCUGCUCCCAGACCCCGUGGGAGAGAGACCUCACCGCCUGGUCAGGUGGGCACUCCUGAGGCUGCAGAGCAGAAGAGACCACCAACACUGCCCACCACUGCCCACAUCCCUGACCCAAGAGGAAACUGUAUAAGGCCUCUGGGUUCCCGUGGGGGACGGCCCAGGAGUGGCAGGACCCCUGCGCCUGAGACACCGCCGGAACCUGAAGGAACAGACCGGAUAAACAGUUCUCUGCACCCAAAUCCCGUGGGAGGGAGAGCUAAACCUUCAGAGAGGCAGACACGCCUGGGAAACCAGAAGAGACUGCACUCUGCACACAUUACUGAUUCCAGAGGAAAACACCAAAUGCCAUCUGGAACCCUGGUGCACUGAAGC